UGUUUGAGGAUUGAAUGUGAUGAUUGUAUUGAUUGGGGUUAUUGUAUAUGAGGUUGAUAUUUAUAUAUUUGGGAGAUGUAUUGAGUUAGGGAAAGGCUUAAGGCCUAUGUGUGCCGGUGUAACGUGGUGGAAUGACAUAUAUGUAUGUCUCGGGCGUUAUAUCGUUUCUUGUUGGGUUAUGUGGCAAUCAUUUGAGUUGGCAUGAUUCAUCGCCGAAGCGGGCAUGCGGCGUGCCUGUAAAUGAAGUAACGUAGAUGCGUGAUGUCGUGGAGACAACGUGGAACGUAUGAACAUGGUGGCGGAUCAAGCGAGAACCAAUGUCGGUAACUUGAUUGCGUGAAGGCGUGAGACAGCGUGAUGUCGUUGAGACAACGCAACAUGAAAGUUCUCGCGCGACAACAUGAAGAACGCGGGUACCGAUUUAGGUGGCGUGGUCUCAUUGUUGGCACCGCCGGGGUUUAUCCUCGUUUCUUGUUGAUUGCUUUCGAUUUACUGAAUGUUAAAGUUAGAUGCUUAUGCUAUGUUGUGUGAUGAUUGUUGGUGAUUGAUUUCGGGGCUCCUAGAGCUUCGCUCACUAAGCUUUUGUCGAAAUGCUCACCCCUCCUUCUUUCCUUUUCAUUUCAGGUUCGGCUCACAUUGGUGGGUUUUUUUGUCAAAGACGUCCUGGGAUCCUAAAGACACAUUGUUUCGGCCUUGUGGCUGGAGACAAGUGUCAUGAUAUCGCCGACCAUUUCAGCUAUGCUGGGUCGGGGUGCCACAAGUGGUAUCAGAGCCAAGGAAAGACUCCCUAGUCCUAACCUAGAGGGUUAGUCUCGACUCAAAGCAAUAUGAAUUGAACAAGUUCCUAAUCUCUUACUUAAUGGUUGAGUUUUCCCCUUGCUCCAUUUGGAAUUCGGGGCGAAUUCCUAGUUAAAUGGGGUAGAGUUGUCACAUCCCGGUUCUCCCAAACCGGAAUGAUUUUGUUUUUCUUGAUUACUUUUCUUGAUUAUUAACUUGAUUUAGACCAAAGCCCAUUAGCUUUUAUCCUUCUUUUCUGGCCCGUGUAGUAAACCCUAAGGUUUCCUCUUCUUUUCCUAUAAAAAGGAGUCUCCUCCUUCUCUUCUCUCCCAUUAGAAAUCAGAGCGAAGCCUUGCAGAGUUCCAGAGAGAUCUGAAAGCCUUAGCCGUCAAGGUUUCUCUUUUCUUCUCUCUCGUUCUCUCUCACUUGCGUCUCUCUCUCUCUCUCUCUCUCCUUGGUGUUCGCCAUUUGCUGAAGGCUGGAGCCAAGCCGUUGGAGAUCCCCGAUGAACCGAUCCAAUUCUAUGUCCAGAUCUCUCUUUGUCUUCUUUCUAGAUCUGGUCGCUGGUGAGGUAAGGAACCCUAGUUCUCGUUUCCUCCAUCUCUUUGUUCUCUUUUAUCUUGGAUCUCUCAUCCCGGAUUCUUUGGUGGUAGCACCAAUCCUUUUUGUUGUAGAUCUGGUUCGUGGAAAGCCAUAAGCUUCAGAUCUGGUUCUACUCUCUUUUCCAUUCUCAGAUCUAAGGCCAAGGUGAGGGCUUGUUGCAAUCUCUAUCUCCUUCUAUCAUUAUCUCAUCAUGGUAGAAGUGUCUAGGUUGAUCAUUCAUCCCUACUUGUUACUUUCUAUAGAUCUAUUAAUAUAAAUAAAUAUUCAUAUGAUAUAUAUAAAUAUCUUGAUGCUUGAUGUGUGAAAAACAUAGAUCUAUUGCUAAGGUUGUUAAAAUAUGGUUGAAUGAUGUUUGAGGAUUGAAUGUGAUGAUUGUAUUGAUUGGGGUUAUUGUAUAUGAGGUUGAUAUAUAUAUUUGGGAGAUGUAUUGAGUUAGGGAAAGGCUUAAGGCCUAUGUGUGCCGGUGUAACGUGGUGGAAUGACAUAUAUGUAUGUCUCGGGCGUUACAUCGUUUCUUGUUGGGUCAUGUGGCAAUCGUUUGAGUUGGCAUGAUUCAUCGCCGGAGCGGGCAUGCGGCGUGCCUGUAAAUGAAGUAACGUAGAAGCGUGAUGUCGUGGAGACAACGUGGAACGUAUGAACAUGGUGGCGGAUCAAGCGUGAACCGGUGUCGGUAACUUGAUUGCGUGAAGGCGUGAGACAGCGGGAUGUCGUGGAGACAACGCAACAUGAAAGUUCUCGCGCGACAACAUGAGGAACGCGGGUACCGAUUUAGGUGGCGUGGUCUCAUUGUUGGCACCGCCGGGGUUUAUCCUCGUUUCUUGUUGAUUGCUUUCGAUUUACUGAAUGUUAAAGUUAGAUGCUUAUGCUAUGUUGUGUGAUGAUUGUUGGUGAUUGAUUUCGGGGCUCCUGGAGCUUCCCUCACUGAGCUUUUGUCGAAAUGCUCACCCCUCCUUCUUCCCUUUUCAUUUCAGGUUCGGCUCAUAUUGGUGGGUUUUUGUCAAAGACGUCCUGGGAUCCUAAAGACACAUUGUUUCGGCCUUGUGGCUGGAGACAAGUGUCAUGAUAUCGCCGACCAUUUCAGCUAUGCUGGGUCGGGGUGUCACAAGUGGUAUCAGAGCCCAGGAAAGACUCUCUAGUCCUAACCUAGAGGGUCAGUCUCGACUCAAACCAAUAUGAAUUGAACAAGUUCCUAAUCUCUUACUUAAUGGUUGAGUUUUCCCCUUGCUCCGUUUGGAAUUCGGGGCGAAUUCCCAGUUAAGUGGGGUAGAGUUGUCACAUCCCGGUUCUCCCAAACCGGAAUGGUUUUGUUUUUCUUGAUUAUUAACUUGAUUUAGACCAAAGCCCAUUAGCUUUUAUCCUUCUUUUCUGGCCCGUGUAGUAAACCCUAAGGGUUCCUCUUCUUUUCCUAUAAAAAGGAGCCUCCUCCUUCUCUUCUCUCCCAUUAGAAAUCAGAGCGAAGCCUUGCAGAGUUCCAGAGAGAUCUGAAAACCCUAGCCGUCAAGGUUUCUCUUUUCUUCUCUCUCGUUCUCUCUCGCCUGCGUCUCUCUCGCCUGCGUCUGUCUCUCUCUCUCUCUCUCUCUCCUUGGUGUUCGCCGUUUGCUGAAGGCUGGAGCCAAGCCGUUGGAGAUCCCCGAUGAACCGAUCCAAUUCUAUGUCCAGAUCUCUCCUUGUCUUCUUUCUAGAUCUGGUCGCUGGUGAGGUAAGGAACCCUAGUUCUCGUUUCCUCCAUCUCUUUGUUCUCUUUUAUCUUGGAUCUCUCAUCCCGGAUUCUUUGGUGGUAGCACCAAUCCUUUUUGUUGUAGAUCUGGUUCGUGGAAAGCCAUAAGCUUCGGAUCUGGUUCUACUCUCUUUUCCAUUCUCAGAUCUAAGGCCAAGGUGAGGGCUUGUUGCAAUCUCUAUCUCCUUCUAUUAUUAUCUCAUCAUGGUAGAAGUGUCUAGGUUGAUCAUUCAUCCUUAUUUGUUACUUUCUAUAGAUCUACUAAUAUAAAUAACUAUACAUAUGAUAUAUAUAAAUAUCUUGAUGCUUGAUGUGUGAAAAACAUAGAUCUAUUGCUAAGGUUGUUAAAAUAUGGUUGAAUGAUGUUUGAGGAUUGAAUGUGAUGAUUGUAUUGAUUGGGGUUAUUAUUAUAAGAGGAUGAUAUCUUUAUAAUUGGGAGAUGUAAAUGAGUAAGAGAAAGGCUUUAAGGCCUAUGUGUGCCGGUGUAACGUGGUGGAAUGACAUAUAUGUAUGUCUCGGGCGUUACAUCGUUUCUUGUUGGGUUAUGUGGCAAUCAUUUGAGUUGGCAUGAUUCAUCGCCGAAGCGGGCAUGCGGCGUGCCUGUAAAUGAAGUAACGUAGAAGCGUGAUGUCGUGGAGACAACGUGGAACGUAUGAACAUGGUGGCGGAUCAAGCGAGAACCAAUGUCGGUAACUUGAUUGCGUGAAGGCGUGAGACAGCGUGAUGUCGUGGAGACAACGCAACAUGAAAGUUCUCGCGCGACAACAUGAGGAACGCGGGUACCGAUUUAGGUGGCGUGGUCUCAUUGUUGGCACCGCCGGGGUUUAUCCUCGUUUCUUGUUGAUUGCUUUCGAUUUACUGAAUGUUAAAGUUAGAUGCUUAUGCUAUGUUGUGUGAUGAUUGUUGGUGAUUGAUUUCGGGGCUCCUAGAGCUUCGCUCACUGAGCUUUUGUCGAAAUGCUCACCCCUCCUUCUUCCCUUUCAUUUCAGGUUCGGCUCAUAUUGGUGGGUUUUUUGUCAAAGACGUCAUGGGAUCCUAAAGACACAUUGUUUCGGCCUUGUGGCUGGAAACAAGUGUCAUGAUAUGGCCGACCAUUUCAGCUAUGUUGGGUCGGGGUGUCACAAGUGGUAUCAGAGCCCAGGAAAGACUCUCUAGUCCUAACCUAGAGGGUCAGUCUCGACUCAAACCAAUAUGAAUUGAACAAGUUCCUAAUCUCUUACUUAAUGGUUGAGUUUUCCCCUUGCUCCGUUCGGAAUUCGGGGCGAAUUCCCAGUUAAGUGGGGUAGAGUUGUCACAUCCCGGUUCUCCCAAACCGGAAUGGUUUUGUUUUUCUUGAUUAUUAACUUGAUUUAGACCAAAGCCCAUUAGCUUUUAUCCUUCUUUUCUGGUCCGUGUAGUAAACCCUAAGGUUUCCUCAUCUUUUCUUAUAAAAAAGAACCUCCUCAUUCUCUUCUCUCCCAUUAGAAAUCAGAGCGAAGCCUUGCAGAGUUCCAGAGAGAUCUGAAAAACCCUAGCCGUCAAGGUUUCUCUUUUCUUCUCUCUCGCCUGCGUCUCUCUCUCUCUCUCUCUCUCUCUCCUUGGGUUCGCCGUUUGCUGAAGGCUAGAGCCAAGCCGUUGUCAAAGAUGUCCUGGGAUCCUAAAGACACAUUGUUUCGGCCUUGUGGCUGGAGACAAGUGUCAUAAUAUCGCCGACCAUUUCAGCUAUGUUGGGUCGGGGUGCCACAAAUAUCUAUCAACCACACAUGUAAGAUGACUUGGACUUCAGGUUAGUAUAUAAUGUAAAUUACGAAAGCCAUGGAAAAGAAUCUCCAAAGACCAACCAAGGUUAUAAAAGUAAAAAUAAAAGACUUCCUACCAACCAAGAAGGAUUGGGCAAAAAGCUUGAGUCCAAAGAAUUAAAUUGAAUCUGAUCCGAAAGAUAAAUAAUAUCAGAUUCGGAUCAAAAUUAGUUAAAUAUUCGAAUGGAUUCAAAAUUCGAAUUCAAUCCAGAAUAGAUUUAUAUACCUUAAUAUAUUAAUUAUUUUUAGAUUCAAUCUAUAAAAAUAUCCAAAAUAUAUAAGAUAUUUUGAAAUUGUCCAAAAUACUUAAAAUAUAUACAAAUAGUCAAAAGUAAAUGUACAAAUUAGCUAAACAAUACUUAAAAUACCAAAAAUACUUGAAAUAUAUAUUGUUUUUCUAUCCAAAUAUUCAAGUCAAACCAAUUUAUAUGUUAAGUUUAUGUAUUUUGGUAUAAUUCAAAUUUAUAUGUAAUAUUUUAUUUUAAUUUUAUAUUUUGAGAAAUUUAAGGUAUAUAAUAAAUUUAAAAUUUUUAAAAAUGAUUUAAACGGGUUAUCUGAAUCCGAACCUAACGCGUAAAGAUCCAAACCAAACAUGAAACAAUAUUUAUAAAUACCUGGAUAAUGUUGAAAUCUUUAACCCUAAAAAUCAAAAAUCCGAACAGAUGUGAACCGUACCCGGAUGUAUUCCCAAAUGCCCACCCCUACGACAGGCAUAUCCAAUGUUUCGCAUUACUAGCUUCAUCCACGCAUUACCAAUGCAAAAUAACACAAAACACUGAUAGAAAGAAGUUAACAAAACUUCAUAAAAUGUUUAGAAACAACAAACGAUUCUUUGAUGCAGUAAUAAGAAUAUUUAUUAGAAACUUUACUAGAUUCAAGUGCAUUAUAAUUUCUACACGGACCAUUUAAAAUCCAUAUCAAAAUUUUCAUUGAGUUUCUAUAAAAAAUACAACAUUAUCCUACUAUCACAUUUCUUAUAUGAAUUUGUAAUUUAUAAAUGAUAAACUCAUGUGUAUCCCUGAAAAUACCCUAACGGGAUAUACCGACAAUGAAAAGUAUAUGCAUCUCCUUCACGUCAAAUUAUGCAUAAAGAGGAUUCAUGGGUCCAGUGGAAGUUGCAUUACGAAUGAUGUUCAUUAUUAUUAAAAAUGUAUGCUCUGAAACUUAGAUAAAAAUACAAAAAAAACUGUGAUUAGUAUUUAUAGGUUACAUUUGGCUCACGAGUUUUAGGUCUCAAAGUUUGGCAAAUAAUAAAUCAUUUAGUAAAAAAAGAAAUCAUGAGAAGUAUAAAACUAAAACUUCACGACAACAUUUUAGGCAUAUAUUAUUUUGUUUACGCUUACAAUUUUGUCAAACAUUCUAUAGUAUUUUGAUAGAAUAAUAAAAAUUCUAUAUUUAAUAUAGAAUUUUUUUAAAAGAACAUAAUUAAUAUGUACAGAAGAUGAAUUGAAGAUAAAGAAAUGCUUUCACCAAAUAAAAAUUUAAAAAUAAAUGAUAAUAAUUAAGUAAUAGAAUGUCAGAGAACAUAUUAUUAUUUUUUUCAAAAAAAUAAGAGAACAGAUUAAUAAAAAAUAAAAAUUAAAACACAUCAAAAAUAUAAACAAUCAUCAUAGUUAAAACUAAACAAAUAUAAUAUUCCCCCCCCCCCGAACGUGGAACGUAUGAACAUGGUGGCGGAUCAAGCGAGAACCAAUGUUGGUAACUUGAUUGCGUUAAGGCGUGAGACAGCGUGAUGUCGUGGAGACAACGCAACAUGAAAGUUCUCGCGCGACAACAUGAGGAACGCGGGUACCGAUUUAGGUGGCGUGGUCUCAUUGUUGGCACC
Molecule: long non-coding RNA, 6700 nt
Filed under: Brassica napus (rape)
Lineage: Eukaryota; Viridiplantae; Streptophyta; Magnoliopsida; Brassicales; Brassicaceae
Description: long non-coding RNA (BNAP_LNC026294)
Source: RNAcentral